Molecule: transfer RNA, 73 nt
Filed under: Iriatherina werneri
Lineage: Eukaryota; Metazoa; Chordata; Actinopteri; Atheriniformes; Melanotaeniidae
Description: tRNA-Val
Rfam family: tRNA
About the family: Transfer RNA (tRNA) molecules are approximately 80 nucleotides in length.
Source: RNAcentral
CAGCAGUAUAGCUAAGAAGUAUAGCAUCUCCCUUACACCGAGAAGUCAUCCGUGCAAAUCGGAUAACUCUGAC